UGGAGAUAUAUACACACAGAGUGCAAUGAAUGGAGAUAUAUACACAGAGUGCAAUGAAUGGAGAUAUAUACACAGAGUGCAAUGAAUGGAGAUAUAUGCACUCUGUGUAUAUAUCUCCAUUCAUUGCACUCUGUGUAUAUAUCUCCAUUCAUUGCACUCUGUGUGUAUAUAUCUCCAU
This 178-nucleotide small nucleolar RNA is filed under the name Pelobates cultripes (western spadefoot toad). Lineage: Eukaryota; Metazoa; Chordata; Amphibia; Anura; Pelobatidae. The record is from RNAcentral.